Molecule: long non-coding RNA, 203 nt
Filed under: Mytilus galloprovincialis (Mediterranean mussel)
Lineage: Eukaryota; Metazoa; Mollusca; Bivalvia; Mytilida; Mytilidae
Source: RNAcentral
CACCUGAUACCUAUUACCUUAUCUGUACGUUCCACAUCUGACAGGAGCACCACCAAACGGUGUAUUUAGGAUUUUGCUAUAUACACAGGUUAUGAUCUCAGGGUUGACACUAAAAUAAUCAAUUCAAUCAUUGUCACAUUAUUCCCUAUUGUAGUAUUUUAAUCAGUAAGACUUUCUAAGAUGACAAUAGGAAUACUAAAAAU